UACGAUAAUGUCUGUGGCUCAGA
Molecule: microRNA, 23 nt
Filed under: Blattella germanica (German cockroach)
Lineage: Eukaryota; Metazoa; Arthropoda; Insecta; Blattodea; Blattellidae
Description: Bge-Novel-9-P2_5p (mature (guide))
Source: RNAcentral